GACAAGGGGAUGCAAUUAUCAACAGUCUUUGCCAUGCCACCCUGGUGGGCUACUCCUUUAGCACCCUUCCCCACUUCAAACAAAAGUAGCCUUUACAAAGUGUGGGCCCUGAGCACGAAGCCUCUGUGGUACAUACUCAGAGAGAGACUGCGCAGAAGGACGAAAGCGAACUAGCUCUGGGUAAAGGAUGUUUGAAGAGGGCAAGGUAUUUAUGUCUUCGUGCAAUUUUCAUGGGAAAAGCUGAAGUACUAAGUCAUAAAAGAAAACAGAACACCAUAUGCUAGAGAGAGGGACCAGAAGACUACCAAGGCAGCAAGAGACCCAGAACUGCAGGGGAGGGGGGCGGGGACGGGGCGGGGCAGCGUCGGCGACCCGGAAGUGUUCUCGGAAAGCUCACUCCGGCCCAACCCGGCCACGCCUACUCCACGCAUGCGCGCCAGCACCGCCCUUACAGCCCCUACCGCCACAGGGACACCGCCAUAAAAUUCCCACAGCUCAGGCGGGCACGCGCACGCUGCUGUCUACGUCGUGGCGAACGAGGCCGCACUGCUUCGUCCAGGGGGCGGGGCUGUCAGUCAAAGUGCACAGGCUGCUGAGGUAAGUAACCAAGACUUCCAGAAUCUUCGGUGGGGAGCUGAUCCCCCUACGAUCCUACCUGCCAGGACUAACUGGGUGGAAAGAAACCCUGGAGGCUCUCCCGCGCCGGGCGUAUGCAGACAAUUUCCUCCGACUGAGCAUGCGUGGGGCGGGUUGACGCCUGCGCAAUGGGGCGGCCGCGAGCCUCCCCCUU
Molecule: long non-coding RNA, 790 nt
Filed under: Rattus norvegicus (Norway rat)
Lineage: Eukaryota; Metazoa; Chordata; Mammalia; Rodentia; Muridae
Description: long non-coding RNA NONRATT017741
Source: RNAcentral